Molecule: small nucleolar RNA, 77 nt
Organism: Cricetulus griseus (Chinese hamster)
Lineage: Eukaryota; Metazoa; Chordata; Mammalia; Rodentia; Cricetidae
Source: Ensembl
UGGAUUGAUGAUGAGUAUGUGUGGGGUAUCUGAAUCCAAUAUUUUGAUUAAACCUGGUCUGCGGCUGCGAGCUCCUC